AGUGAACGCUGGCGGUAGGCCUAACACAUGCAAGUCGAACGGCAGCACAGGAGAGCUUGCUCUCUGGGUGGCGAGUGGCGGACGGGUGAGGAAUACAUCGGAAUCUACUCUGUCGUGGGGGAUAACGUAGGGAAACUUACGCUAAUACCGCAUACGACCUACGUGUGAAAGCAGGCGACCUUCGGGCCUUGCGCGAUAGAAUGAGCCGAUGUCGGAUUAGCUAGUUGGCGGGGUAAAGGCCCACCAAGGCGACGAUCCGUAGCUGGUCUGAGAGGAUGAUCAGCCACCCUGGAACUGAGACACGGUCCAGACUCCUACGGGAGGCAGCAGUGGGGAAUAUUGGACAAUGGGCGCAAGCCUGAUCCAGCCAUACCGCGUGGGUGAAGAAGGCCUUCGGGUUGUAAAGCCCUUUUGUUGGGAAAGAAAUCCAGCUGGCUAAUACCCGGUUGGGAUGACGGUACCCAAAGAAUAAGCACCGGCUAACUUCGUGCCAGCAGCCGCCGCGG
This 506-nucleotide ribosomal RNA is filed under the name uncultured bacterium. Its description in RNAcentral is "partial 16S ribosomal RNA". It matches the Rfam family "Bacterial small subunit ribosomal RNA", at positions 29 to 523 of the family's 1533-position model. The record is from RNAcentral.